UACGGAGGGCGCGAGCGUUGUUCGGAAUUACUGGGCGUAAAGCGCACGUAGGCGGAUUUGUAAGUCAGGGGUGAAAUCCCGGGGCUCAACCUCGGAACUGCCUUUGAUACUGCAAAUCUCGAGUCCGGAAGAGGUGAGUGGAAUUCCUAGUGUAGAGGUGAAAUUCGUAGAUAUUAGGAAGAACACCAGUGGCGAAGGCGGCUCACUGGUCCGGUACUGACGCUGAGGUGCGAAAGCGUGGGGAGCAAACAGG
RNAcentral lists this ribosomal RNA (253 nucleotides) under uncultured bacterium. Its description in RNAcentral is "partial 16S ribosomal RNA". It matches the Rfam family "Bacterial small subunit ribosomal RNA", at positions 524 to 776 of the family's 1533-position model. The record is from RNAcentral.